RNAcentral lists this ribosomal RNA (497 nucleotides) under uncultured bacterium. RNAcentral's name for it is "partial 16S ribosomal RNA". It matches the Rfam family "Bacterial small subunit ribosomal RNA", at positions 899 to 1397 of the family's 1533-position model. The record is from RNAcentral.
ACUCAAAUGAAUUGACGGGGGCCCGCACAAGCGGUGGAGCAUGGGGUUUAAUUCGUCACUAACCGAAGAACCUUACCCAGGCUUGACAUCCUCGGACCGCCGGUGAAAGCCGGUUUUCCCCGCAAGGGGACCGAGAGACAGGUGUUGCAUGGCUGUCGUCAGCUCGUGUCGUGAGAUGUUGGGUUAAGUCCCGCAACGAGCGCAACCCUCACCGUGUGUUGCCAGCGGAAACGCGCACUCACACGGAACUGCCGGGGCAACUCGGAGGAAGGCGAGGAUGACGUCAAGUCGGCAUGGCCCUUACGCCUGGGGCUACACCCAUGCUACAAUGGGGCGGACAGAGGGCUGCAAGACCGCAAGGUGGAGCCAAUCCCAAAAACCGUCUCUCAGUUGGAAUUGGGGUCUGCAACUCGACCCCAUGAACGUGGAAUCGCUAGUAAACGCCGGUCAGCCAAACGGCGUUGAAUCCGUUCCCGGGCCUUGUACACACCGCCCGU